Molecule: ribosomal RNA, 492 nt
Filed under: uncultured bacterium
Lineage: Bacteria
Description: partial 16S ribosomal RNA
Rfam family: Bacterial small subunit ribosomal RNA
Source: RNAcentral
AGUGAACGCUGGCGGUAGGCCUAACACAUGCAAGUCGAACGGCAGCACAGUAAGAGCUUGCUCUUACGGGUGGCGAGUGGCGGACGGGUGAGGAAUACAUCGGAAUCUACUUUUUCGUGGGGGAUAACGUAGGGAAACUUACGCUAAUACCGCAUACGACCUACGGGUGACAGAAGGGGAUCUUCGGACCUUGCGCGAUUGAAUGAGCCGAUGUCGGAUUAGCUAGUUGGCGGGGUAAAGGCCCACCAAGGCGACGAUCCGUAGCUGGUCUGAGAGGAUGAUCAGCCACACUGGAACUGAGACACGGUCCAGACUCCUACGGGAGGCAGCAGUGGGGAAUAUUGGACAAUGGGCGCAGGCCUGAUCCAGCCAUACCGCGUGGGUGAAGAAGGCCUUCGGGUUGUAAAGCCCUUUUGUUGGGAAAGAAAAGCAGCAGGUUAAUACCCCGCUGUUCUGACGGUACCCAAAGAAUAAGCACCGGCUAACUUCGUG